Non-coding RNA from Hydra vulgaris (swiftwater hydra), 805 nucleotides. The record is from RefSeq and is a predicted model, not a curated record. Lineage: Eukaryota; Metazoa; Cnidaria; Hydrozoa; Anthoathecata; Hydridae.
CGCAACUUGUUUGUUCAUAAGAUGAAAAUUACUUCACAACUAAAUAUGCCAAUUUCUUCAUCCUCUAACAGUGCUUCCGUAAAAGACAAACCAGAUUGCAUGAACAUUUUUCUAUUGCAAGGUUGGGCAUUACCAGUUCGAAGUUCUUUUAGAUUUUCAAAUCAGCAGAAAGAACUGUUGUAUAAAUACUUUAUUCGUGGAGAAGAAUCAGGUAAUAAAAUGAGCCCUGAGCAGGUUCACAUGCAGCUGAGGAGAGAACUUCCGCCUGAUCAAUAAGUAACUAGCCAACAGAUAAGAUCUUUAUUUUCAAGAUUUAGUAACCUGAAAAGAAAAGGUAAGCUGGUAGAACCGACAACAGAAAAUAAUGAAAAUAGUCAGGUUAACGAUAACAAAGAAGUUUAUGGCAAAAAUGAUGACUUUAAUCUGACAGGAGACAAUGAAGAUGAUAAUAAAUAUGAGGAAGACAUCGCCAAUCUUGCAAAAGAAGUUUGUCUUGUAUGGAAAGUGAAUGAUUGGGUUGCUGUUGUAUAUGAAAAACAAUGGAAUAUUGGAUAUAUUGUGGAGGUAUCUAUAACUGGGAUCAGAGUUAAUUGUAUGAUUAACGGGCAAGAGAAGAAUACUUUUCGCUGGCCAGUUACUACCAAGGAGAUAAAUAACCAAACUGAUAAAAUUAUCUGUUUAGUAAAUGCUCCUUUUCUAAUCAGUGGUUGUGGCGAUUAUUCAUUAUCCGAAGAAGACUAUAAUACAGUCAUAUCAUUAUUCUUAGAGAAACUUACUGCAGCGGAGUAGAAAUUAUGUGUGAUGU